UACGUAGGGUGCGAGCGUUAAUCGGAAUUACUGGGCGUAAAGCGUGCGUAGGCGGUCCGCAAAGUCUGAUGUGAAAGCCCCGGGCUCAACCUGGGAACUGCAUUGGAAACUAACGGGCUUGAGUGUGGCAGAGGGGGGUGGAAUUCCACGUGUAGCAGUGAAAUGCGUAGGGAUGUGGAGGAACACCGAUGGCGAAGGCAGCCCCCUGGGCUAACACUGACGCUCAGGCACGAAAGCGUGGGGAGCAAACAGG
RNAcentral lists this ribosomal RNA (253 nucleotides) under uncultured bacterium. Its description in RNAcentral is "partial 16S ribosomal RNA". It matches the Rfam family "Bacterial small subunit ribosomal RNA", at positions 524 to 776 of the family's 1533-position model. The record is from RNAcentral.